CCUACGGGCGGCAGCAGUGAGGAAUAUUGGUCAAUGGGCGAGAGCCUGAACCAGCCAAGUCGCGUGAAGGAUGAAGGAUCUAUGGUUUGUAAACUUCUUUUAUAUGGGAAUAAAGUGAGGAACGUGUUCCUUUUUGUAUGUACCAUAUGAAUAAGCAUCGGCUAACUCCGUGCCAGCAGCCGCGGUAAUACGGAGGAUGCGAGCGUUAUCCGGAUUUAUUGGGUUUAAAGGGUGCGUAGGUGGUUAAUUAAGUCAGCGGUGAAAGUUUGUGGCUCAACCCCUUCCCGCCAUUGAAACUGGCGCUCGUGAGUGGAAGAGAAGUAUGCGGAAUGCGUGGUGUAGCGGUGAAAUGCAUAGAUAUCACGCAGAACCCCGAUUGCGAAGGCAGCAUGCCGGCUUCCGACUGACGCUGAAGCACGAAAGCGUGGGGAUCGAACAGGAUUAGAUACCCCAGUAGUC
Molecule: ribosomal RNA, 459 nt
Filed under: uncultured bacterium
Lineage: Bacteria
Description: partial 16S ribosomal RNA
Rfam family: Bacterial small subunit ribosomal RNA
Source: RNAcentral